Molecule: transfer-messenger RNA, 327 nt
Filed under: Candidatus Organicella extenuata
Lineage: Bacteria; Pseudomonadati; Verrucomicrobiota
Rfam family: transfer-messenger RNA
About the family: Bacterial tmRNA, also known as 10Sa RNA or SsrA, is named for its dual tRNA and mRNA-like properties.
Source: RNAcentral
GGGGGUACGUUGGUUUUGAUACUUAAAUAAAUGGUUAGUCGUCAGUCAGAGGAUUAGGUAGGCUCUGUAAAAAACCUAAUAAAUAUAAAAGCAGAAAAAACAGACAAUGUUUUACACUACGAUUUUAAAAAUUACAAUAAAAAAGUUAAGUUGUAUGCUUAAAACCUUAAUUAAAGUUUAAGAACUAAAGCGUCUUCUUACAUGUAAAGCAUCCCACUCGUUUGUAUAUAAAGCUUUACGUGUAUACUUAUAAAAUACCAAACAUAAGCUGUAUAAAACUACUGUUUAUAUAAGUAGAAACGGGUUCGAAUCCCGUUACCUCCAUUA